RNAcentral lists this ribosomal RNA (272 nucleotides) under uncultured bacterium. RNAcentral's name for it is "partial 16S ribosomal RNA". It matches the Rfam family "Bacterial small subunit ribosomal RNA", at positions 85 to 354 of the family's 1533-position model. The record is from RNAcentral.
CCGCCGGCGACCGGCGCACGGGUGAGUAACGCGUAUGCAACCUGGCCGUGACAGAUGGAUAACCGGGAGAAAUCCCGCCUAAUACAACAUAAUGCCGGGAGGGGACAUCCCCUGCCGGCCAAAGGGGCGACCCCGGUCACGGAUGGGCAUGCGGCGCAUUAGGUAGUUGGUGGGGCAACGGCCCACCAAGCCGACGAUGCGUAGGGGUUCUGAGAGGAAGGUCCCCCACAUUGGAACUGAGACACGGUCCAAACUCCUACGGAAGGCAGCAG